Molecule: ribosomal RNA, 494 nt
Filed under: uncultured bacterium
Lineage: Bacteria
Description: partial 16S ribosomal RNA
Rfam family: Bacterial small subunit ribosomal RNA
Source: RNAcentral
GACGAACGCUGGCGGCGCGCUUAACACAUGCAAGUCGAACGGAAAGGCCUGCUUUCCCUUGUGGAUUGCGGGUACUCGAGUGGCGAACGGGUGAGUAACACGUGAGUGAUCUGCCCCCAACUUGGGUAUAAGCCUGGGAAACUGGGUCUAAUUCCCGAUAGGACUGCAGGGUGGUGCCUGUGGUGGAAAACGAUUUUCUAGUGGUUGGGGAUGAGCUCGCGGCCUAUCAGCUUGUUGGUGGGGUAAUGGCCUACCAAGGCGGCGACGGGUAGCCGGCCUGGGAGGGUGGACGGCCACAUUGGGACUGAGAUACGGCCCAGACUCCUACGGGAGGCAGCAGUGGGGAAUAUUGCACAGUGGGCGGAAGCCUGAUGCAGCGACGCCGCGUGGGGGAUGACGGCCUUCGGGUUGUAAACUCCUUUCGACCGCGAGGAAGCCACCUGGUUGGAAGGGUGGUGACGGUAGUGGUAGAAGAAGCACCGGCUAACUACGUG